RNAcentral lists this ribosomal RNA (848 nucleotides) under uncultured bacterium. RNAcentral describes it as "bacterial SSU rRNA". It matches the Rfam family "Bacterial small subunit ribosomal RNA", at positions 615 to 1460 of the family's 1533-position model. The record is from RNAcentral.
GGGGAGGGUCAUCCCUUACGAGCGAACUAGAGUACGGAAGAGGUGGGGGGAAUUCGUGGUGUAGCGGAGAUAUGAGUAGAUAUCAGGAGGAACACCGCAGUCGAAGGCGCCCAUCUGGUCCGUGACUGACGAUGAGGCGCGAAAGGUAGGGGAGCGAACGGGAUUAGAUACCCCGGUAGUCCUAGCCGUAAACGGUGGGCAGUAGGUGUGGCAGGCAUCGACCCGUCCAGAGCACGCAGAUAACGCAUUAAGUGCGAGGCCUGGGGAGUGCGGCCGCAAGGAUGAAACUCAAAGGAAUUGACGCGGGCCCGCGCAAGCGGUGGAGCAUGUGGUUCAAUUCGCAGCACCGCGAAGAACCUUACCCAGGCUGGGCAUGCAUCGGGCCGCAGAGGAAACACACCUCUCCUUCGGGACUAGCGCACAGGUCAUGCAUGGCGGUAGUCAGCUUGUGUCGAGAGAUGUUGGGGUAAGUCCCGCAACGAGCGCAACCCUUGCUGUUAGCAGCUAGCGAGUAAUGUGGAGCACUCUAGAAGGACGGCCGGCGGUAAGCCGGAGGAAGGGGGGGACGAAGUCAAGUCCUCAUGGCCCUUACGCGUGGGGAUACACACGUCAUACAAUGGUCGACACAGAGGGCAGCGAUAGCGCGAGGUGGAGCCAAUACCAAAAAGUCGCCCUCAGUUCGGAUGGCAGUCAGCAACUCGACUGCAAGAAGGAGGAAUCGGUAGUCAUGGAUCAUCUACGGGCAGCGGAGAGUGCUCUUGAGCGCCGUGCACACCGCCCGCCACGCCCCGGAAGAGGGGAGUACCCCUAAGUCGCGGUGCCAUACCAUCCAUGAGGCACCCGCCCAC